This 363-nucleotide long non-coding RNA is filed under the name Mytilus galloprovincialis (Mediterranean mussel). The record is from RNAcentral. Lineage: Eukaryota; Metazoa; Mollusca; Bivalvia; Mytilida; Mytilidae.
AAAUUUUUGAAAAAAAUGGGGCGGGUGGGAGGAUUUUAUUUUUUAAAUUUUAUUUCAUAUGAAACCCUUUUGCAUGUUUUUGUGACGAGUUCUUCAUAUUUGCAAGUGUAAUAAUAAGCUUAUAUCAUGUAUUGUUAAGGCCGUACAGUGACCUAUAGUUGUUAAUGUCUGUGUCAUUUUGGUCUUUUGUGGAUAGUUGUCUCAUUGGCAAUCAUACCACAUCUUCUUUUUUAUAUACACAAGUAUGAGGAAUCUUACAUAAUUUUUCAAAUCCUUAAAUAAAUAUAUCUAAUUGCGGCUUUAAAAACUUAACAACAAAAACGUGUGAGAAAUACUCUCUUCAGUUAGACUACCUACACCAAA